Molecule: ribosomal RNA, 254 nt
Filed under: uncultured bacterium
Lineage: Bacteria
Description: partial 16S ribosomal RNA
Rfam family: Bacterial small subunit ribosomal RNA
Source: RNAcentral
CGGACGGGUGAGUAACGCGUGGAAAACCUGCCGUAUACUGGGGGAUAACACUUAGAAAUAGGUGCUAAUACCGCAUAAGCGCACAGCUUCGCAUGAAGCGGUGUGAAAAACUCUGGUGGUAUACGAUGGUUCCGCGUCUGAUUAGCUAGUUGGUGGGGUAAUGGCCUACCAAGGCAACGAUCAGUAGCCGGCCUGAGAGGGUGAACGGCCACAUUGGGACUGAGACACGGCCCAAACUCCUACGGGAGGCAGCA